Molecule: ribosomal RNA, 429 nt
Filed under: Acidobacteriota bacterium
Lineage: Bacteria; Pseudomonadati; Acidobacteriota
Description: Acidobacteria bacterium partial 16S ribosomal RNA
Rfam family: Bacterial small subunit ribosomal RNA
Source: RNAcentral
UGGGGAAUUUUGGACAAUGGGGGAAACCCUGAUCAAGCCAUCCCGCGUGUGCGAUGAAGGCCUUCGGGUUGUAAAGCACUUUUGGCAGGAAAGAAACGCCAUGGGUUAAUACCCCGUGAAACUGACGGUACCUGCAGAAUAAGCACCGGCUAACUACGUGCCAGCAGCCGCGGUAAUACGUAGGGUGCAAGCGUUAAUCGGAAUUACUGGGCGUAAAGCGUGCGCAGGCGGUUCGGAAAGAAAGAUGUGAAAUCCCAGAGCUCAACUUUGGAACUGCAUUUUUAACUACCGGGCUAGAGUGUGUCAGAGGGAGGUGGAAUUCCGCGUGUAGCAGUGAAAUGCGUAGAUAUGCGGAGGAACACCGAUGGCGAAGGCAGCCUCCUGGGAUAACACUGACGCUCAUGCACGAAAGCGUGGGGAGCAAACAGG